UACGUAGGGACCAAGCGUUGUUCGGAUUUACUGGGCGUAAAGGGCGCGUAGGCGGCCACCGCAAGUCGACUGUGAAAUCUCCGGGCUUAACCCGGAAAGGUCAGCCGAUACUGCGGGGCUAGAGUGCAGAAGGGGCAACUGGAAUUCUCGGUGUAGCGGUGAAAUGCGUAGAUAUCGAGAGGAACACCUGCGGCGAAGGCGGGUUGCUGGGCUGACACUGACGCUGAGGCGCGAAAGCUAGGGGAGCGAACGGG
This 254-nucleotide ribosomal RNA is filed under the name uncultured bacterium. RNAcentral's name for it is "partial 16S ribosomal RNA". It matches the Rfam family "Bacterial small subunit ribosomal RNA", at positions 524 to 776 of the family's 1533-position model. The record is from RNAcentral.